Molecule: ribosomal RNA, 465 nt
Filed under: Vreelandella stevensii
Lineage: Bacteria; Pseudomonadati; Pseudomonadota; Gammaproteobacteria; Oceanospirillales; Halomonadaceae
Description: partial 16S ribosomal RNA
Rfam family: Bacterial small subunit ribosomal RNA
Source: RNAcentral
CCUACGGGAGGCUGCAGUGGGGAAUAUUGGACAGUGGGGGCAACCCUGAUCCAGCCAUGCCGCGUGUGUGAAGAAGGCCCUCGGGUUGUAAAGCACUUUCAGUGAGGAAGAACGCCUGGUGGUUAAUACCCAUCAGGAAAGACAUCACUCACAGAAGAAGCACCGGCUAACUCCGUGCCAGCAGCCGCGGUAAUACGGAGGGUGCGAGCGUUAAUCGGAAUUACUGGGCGUAAAGCGCGCGUAGGUGGCUUGAUAAGCCGGUUGUGAAAGCCCCGGGCUCAACCUGGGAACGGCAUCCGGAACUGUCAAGCUAGAGUGCAGGAGAGGAAGGUAGAAUUCCCGGUGUAGCGGUGAAAUGCGUAGAGAUCGGGAGGAAUACCAGUGGCGAAGGCGGCCUUCUGGACUGACACUGACACUGAGGUGCGAAAGCGUGGGUAGCAAACAGGAUUAGAUACCCCAGUAGUC